Molecule: ribosomal RNA, 497 nt
Filed under: uncultured bacterium
Lineage: Bacteria
Description: partial 16S ribosomal RNA
Rfam family: Bacterial small subunit ribosomal RNA
Source: RNAcentral
GAUGAACGCUGGCGGCGUGCCUAAUACAUGCAAGUCGAGCGAACAGACGAGGAGCUUGCUCCUCUGACGUUAGCGGCGGACGGGUGAGUAACACGUGGAUAACCUACCUAUAAGACUGGGAUAACUUCGGGAAACCGGAGCUAAUUCCGGAUAAUAUAUUGAACCGCAUGGUUCAAUAGUGAAAGACGGUUUUGCUGUCACUUAUAGAUGGAUCCGCGCCGCAUUAGCUAGUUGGUAAGGUAACGGCUUACCAAGGCAACGAUGCGUAGCCGACCUGAGAGGGUGAUCGGCCACACUGGAACUGAGACACGGUCCAGACUCCUACGGGAGGCAGCAGUAGGGAAUCUUCCGCAAUGGGCGAAAGCCUGACGGAGCAACGCCGCGUGAGUGAUGAAGGUCUUCGGAUCGUAAAACUCUGUUAUUAGGGAAGAACAAAUGUGUAAGUAACUAUGCACGUCUUGACGGUACCUAAUCAGAAAGCCACGGCUAACUACGUG